This 254-nucleotide ribosomal RNA is filed under the name uncultured bacterium. Its description in RNAcentral is "partial 16S ribosomal RNA". It matches the Rfam family "Bacterial small subunit ribosomal RNA", at positions 524 to 776 of the family's 1533-position model. The record is from RNAcentral.
UACGUAGGGGGCGAGCGUUGUCCGGAUUUAUUGGGCGUAAAGAGCUCGUAGGCGGUUGGGUAAGUCGGGUGUGAAAACUCAGGGCUCAACUCUGAGACGCCACUCGAUACUGCCCUGACUCGAGUCCGGUAGGGGAGCGUGGAAUUCCCGGUGUAGCGGUGAAAUGCGCAGAUAUCGGGAGGAACACCGGUGGCGAAGGCGGCAUCCUGGACCGACACUGACGCUGAGGAGCGAAAGCGUGGGGAGCGAACAGG